RNAcentral lists this microRNA (18 nucleotides) under Homo sapiens (human). RNAcentral describes it as "hsa-miR-7150". The record is from miRBase by way of RNAcentral. Lineage: Eukaryota; Metazoa; Chordata; Mammalia; Primates; Hominidae.
CUGGCAGGGGGAGAGGUA